UAAUAUUGGGUUGGCCAAAAGAUUUGUUUGGGUUUUUCUGUAAGAUGGGCUGGAAAACCCGAAUGAACUUUUUGGCCAACCCAGUAUUU
This 89-nucleotide microRNA precursor is filed under the name Ovis aries (sheep). RNAcentral describes it as "miRNA (ENSOARG00000024650.1)". Lineage: Eukaryota; Metazoa; Chordata; Mammalia; Artiodactyla; Bovidae. The record is from RNAcentral.